UAAUCCUACGCCAGUAUCUACAAGGGCUAUAACCUUAACCGGAGCCAGUCACAUUCCAAUGUCAUUAUCCUACCAUCCAACUGAUGCUGGCCCGAUGAACUGCAGGGGCCCCAUCCGAAGAUAAGGUUGCAAAACACCAAGUCUGAUCUCAUAUCCUUCCCUUUCAACAUUUCCG
This 175-nucleotide ribosomal RNA is filed under the name Citeromyces matritensis. RNAcentral describes it as "partial large subunit ribosomal RNA". Lineage: Eukaryota; Fungi; Ascomycota; Pichiomycetes; Pichiales; Pichiaceae. The record is from RNAcentral.